Molecule: ribosomal RNA, 223 nt
Filed under: uncultured bacterium
Lineage: Bacteria
Description: partial 16S ribosomal RNA
Rfam family: Bacterial small subunit ribosomal RNA
Source: RNAcentral
UACAGAGGGUGCAAGCGUUAAUCGGAAUUACUGGGCGUAAAGCGCGCGUAGGUGGUUUGUUAAGUUGGAUGUGAAAUCCCCGGGCUCAACCUGGGAAUGGCAUUCGGGACUGGCAAGGCUGGAGUGCGGCAGAGGAGACUGGAAUUCCGUGGUGUGAGCAGUGAAAUGCGUAGAAUGUCAGGAGGAAUACCGACUGGCGAAGGCCAGGGUCUCUGGGGAGCUG